UACGGAAGGCAGCAGUGGGGAAUAUUGCACAAUGGGCGCAAGCCUGAUGCAGCCAUGCCGCGUGUAUGAAGAAGGCCUUCGGGUUGUAAAGUACUUUCAGCGGGGAGGAAGGCGAUGCGGUUAAUAACCGCGUCGAUUGACGUUACCCGCAGAAGAAGCACCGGCUAACUCCGUGCCAGCAGCCGCGGUAAUACGGAGGGUGCAAGCGUUAAUCGGAAUUACUGGGCGUUAAAGCGCACGCAGGCGGUCUGUUAAGUCAGAUGUGAAAUCCCCGGGCUUAACCUGGGAACUGCAUUUUGAAACUGGCAGGCUUGAGUCUUGUAGAGGGGGUAGAAUUCCAGGUGUAGCGGUGAAAUGCGUAGAGAUCUGGAGGAAUACCGGUGGCGAAGGCGGCCCCUGGGACAAAGACUGACGCUCAGGUGCGAAAGCGUGGGGAGCAAACAGGGAUAGGAUACC
Molecule: ribosomal RNA, 456 nt
Filed under: uncultured bacterium
Lineage: Bacteria
Description: bacterial SSU rRNA
Rfam family: Bacterial small subunit ribosomal RNA
Source: RNAcentral